AUACGGAGGGUGCAAGCGUUACUCGGAAUCACUGGGCGUAAAGCGCGCGCAGGCGGCUUGAUAAGUUGGAUGUGAAAGCCUACGGCCCAACCGUAGAACUGCAUCCAAAACUGUCAGGCUAGAGUGUGGGAGAGGAAGAUGGAAGUAGUUGUGUAGGGGUAAAAUCCGUAGAGAUAACUAGGAAUACCAAAAGCGAAGGCAAUCUUCUGGAACACUACUGACGCUGAGGCGCGAAGGCGUGGGGAGCAAACAGGAUUAGAAACCCUAGUAGUCC
This 274-nucleotide ribosomal RNA is filed under the name uncultured bacterium. Its description in RNAcentral is "partial 16S ribosomal RNA". It matches the Rfam family "Bacterial small subunit ribosomal RNA", at positions 523 to 796 of the family's 1533-position model. The record is from RNAcentral.